GCUUCGGUGGUGGAUUAGUGGCGAACGGGUGAGUAACACGUGGGCAAUCUGCCCUGCACUCUGGGACAAGCCCUGGAAACGGGGUCUAAUACCGGAUAUGACACGGGAUCGCAUGGUCUCCGUGUGGAAAGCUCCGGCGGUGCAGGAUGAGCCCGCGGCCUAUCAGCUUGUUGGUGGGGUGAUGGCCUACCAAGGCGACGACGGGUAGCCGGCCUGAGAGGGCGACCGGCCACACUGGGACUGAGACACGGCCCAGACUCCUACGGGAGGCAGCAGUGGGGAAUAUUGCACAAUGGGCGCAAGCCUGAUGCAGCGACGCCGCGUGAGGGAUGACGGCCUUCGGGUUGUAAACCUCUUUCAGCAGGGAAGAAGCGCGAGUGACGGUACCUGCAGAAGAAGCACCGGCUAACUACGUGCCAGCAGCCGCGGUAAUACGUAGGGUGCGAGCGUUGUCCGGAAUUAUUGGGCGUAAAGAGCUCGUAGGCGGCUUGUCGCGUCGGAUGUGAAAGCCCGGGGCUUAACCCCGGGUCUGCAUUCGAUACGGGCAGGCUAGAGUUCGGCAGGGGAGAUUGGAAUUCCUGGUGUAGCGGUGAAAUGCGCAGAUAUCAGGAGGAACACCGGUGGCGAAGGCGGAUCUCUGGGCCGAUACUGACGCUGAGGAGCGAAAGCGUGGGGAGCGAACAGGAUUAGAUACCCUGGUAGUCCACGCCGUAAACGUUGGGCACUAGGUGUGGGCGG
Molecule: ribosomal RNA, 738 nt
Filed under: Streptomyces albus
Lineage: Bacteria; Bacillati; Actinomycetota; Actinomycetes; Kitasatosporales; Streptomycetaceae
Description: bacterial SSU rRNA
Rfam family: Bacterial small subunit ribosomal RNA
Source: RNAcentral